CCCUUAGAUGUUCUGGGCCGCACGCGCGUUACACUGAUGCAUUCAACAAGUUCUUUCACCUUGGCCGAGAGGCCUGGACAAUCUUUGAACGUGCAUCGUGAUAGGGAUAGAUUAUUGCAAUUAUUAAUCUUGAACGAGGAAUUCCUAGUAAACGCAGAUCAUCAAUCUGCAUUGAUUACGUCCCUGCCCUUUGUGCACACCGCCCGUCGCACCUACCGAUUGAAUGGUCCGGUGAAGCCUCGGGAUUGUGGCUGGUUCCCUUUAUUGGGGAUCGGUUGCGAGAACUUGUCUAAACCUUAUCAUUUAGAGGAAGGUGAAGUCGUANCA
This 327-nucleotide ribosomal RNA is filed under the name uncultured eukaryote. Its description in RNAcentral is "partial 18S ribosomal RNA". It matches the Rfam family "Eukaryotic small subunit ribosomal RNA", at positions 1470 to 1796 of the family's 1831-position model. The record is from RNAcentral.